UACAGAGGUCCCAAGCGUUGUUCGGAUUCACUGGGCGUAAAGGGUGCGUAGGUGGCCGGGUAAGUCUGAUGUGAAAUCUCCGAGCUCAACUCGGAAACUGCAUCGGAUACUAUCCGGCUAGAGGAAUGGAGGGGAGACUGGAAUGCUUGGUGUAGCAGUGAAAUGCGUAGAUAUCAAGCGGAACACCAGUGGCGAAGGCGAGUCUCUGGACAUUUCCUGACGCUGAGGCACGAAAGCUAGGGGAGCAAACGGG
Molecule: ribosomal RNA, 253 nt
Filed under: uncultured bacterium
Lineage: Bacteria
Description: partial 16S ribosomal RNA
Rfam family: Bacterial small subunit ribosomal RNA
Source: RNAcentral